GGGUUAAGUCCCGCAACGAGCGCAACCCUUGUCUUUAGUUGCCAUCAUUAAGUUGGGCACUCUAGAGAGACUGCCAGGGAUAACCUGGAGGAAGGUGGGGAUGACGUCAAAUCAUCAUGCCCCUUAUGCUUAGGGCUACACACGUGCUACAAUGGGUAGUACAGAGGGUUGCCAAACCGUAAGGUGGAGCUAAUCCCUUAAAGCUACUCUCAGUUCGGAUUGUAGGCUGAAACUCGCCUACAUGAAGCUGGAGUUACUAGUAAUCGCAGAUCAGAAUGCUGCGGUGAAUGCGUUCCCGGGUCUUGUACACACCGCCCGUCACACCACGGGAGUUGGAGACGCCCGAAGCCGAUUAUCUAACCUUUUGGAAGAAGUCGUCGAAGGUGGAAUCAAUAACUGGGGUGAAGUCGUAACAAGGUAGCCGUAUCGGAAGGUGCGGCUGGAUC
RNAcentral lists this ribosomal RNA (446 nucleotides) under Clostridioides difficile. RNAcentral's name for it is "bacterial SSU rRNA". It matches the Rfam family "Bacterial small subunit ribosomal RNA", at positions 1077 to 1524 of the family's 1533-position model. Lineage: Bacteria; Bacillati; Bacillota; Clostridia; Peptostreptococcales; Peptostreptococcaceae. The record is from RNAcentral.